Molecule: transfer RNA, 73 nt
Filed under: Fasciola hepatica (liver fluke)
Lineage: Eukaryota; Metazoa; Platyhelminthes; Trematoda; Plagiorchiida; Fasciolidae
Rfam family: tRNA
About the family: Transfer RNA (tRNA) molecules are approximately 80 nucleotides in length.
Source: Rfam by way of RNAcentral
ACCGUGACAGCUCAGCCGGUAGAGCAUCUGCCCGGUAUGUGGAGGGUUGCUGGUUCGAUUCCCGCUCACGGCG